RNAcentral lists this non-coding RNA (143 nucleotides) under Canicola haemoglobinophilus. Its description in RNAcentral is "Haemophilus haemoglobinophilus FMN sequence". It matches the Rfam family "FMN riboswitch aptamer (RFN element)". From Rfam's summary of the family: The RFN element is a highly conserved domain that is found frequently in the 5'-untranslated regions of prokaryotic mRNAs that encode for flavin mononucleotide (FMN) biosynthesis and transport proteins. This element is a metabolite-dependent riboswitch that directly binds FMN in the absence of proteins. Lineage: Bacteria; Pseudomonadati; Pseudomonadota; Gammaproteobacteria; Pasteurellales; Pasteurellaceae. The record is from RNAcentral.
AGGCAUUCUCAGGGCAGGGCGAAAUUCCCUACCGGUGGUAAGUAUUUUAAAUAUAAGCCCACGAGCGUUUACUUUUAGUAAAGUCAGCAGAUUUGGUGAAAAUCCAAAGCCGACAGUGAUAGUCUGGAUGAAAGAGAAUAGAG